AUACGGAGGGUGCAAGCGUUACUCGGAAUCACUGGGCGUAAAGCGCGCGCAGGCGGCUAUUUAAGUUGGAUGUGAAAGCCUACGGCUCAACCGUAGAACUGCAUCCAAAACUAUUUAGCUAGAGUGUGGGAGAGGAAGAUGGAAUUAGUUGUGUAGGGGUAAAAUCCGUAGAGAUAACUAGGAAUACUAAAAGCGAAGGCAAUCUUCUGGAACACUACUGACGCUGAGGCGCGAAAGCGUGGGGAGCAAACAGGAUUAGAUACCCUAGUAGUCC
RNAcentral lists this ribosomal RNA (274 nucleotides) under uncultured bacterium. Its description in RNAcentral is "partial 16S ribosomal RNA". It matches the Rfam family "Bacterial small subunit ribosomal RNA", at positions 523 to 796 of the family's 1533-position model. The record is from RNAcentral.